CGAUGGCGCUAUGCCAAGGCGGGAAAAGGUGAGGGAAACAAAUAUUUAUUUUGUCUAGACAGACUGUCAUUCAAUCGUGUAAAUAAUAACAAUUUAAUUGGCACUGGUUCCCUCUAUAAAUAUUAUCUGUUAGAAAAAUACUCCGCCGCCACUCGGUCGAUCGACACCAAAUAUUGUCCAGAUAAAUAUAAUUAACCUGUUGUGCCAAAUUGUCACUGCAUUUUGGCGCCACUGCCCGGCUGGUCUGAUUCUAGAUUCGGCGCUGAUAUAUUUAAUAAUAAAAAAAUUCCAUUAAUUAUAGGAAACUGCCUCCGAUCCGAGACAUUAAGACUUAUGGCCACAGUCUGCUAAAAUUUUCAUUUAAUAAUAUCUAAAAUUAAACCAAUAAAUAGUCUUAAAAAUUUUAACAAAGCAAAAAUAUUUCCGGCAUUAAUUAAAAACUUGCCUACCACCGUCGUUUUUCUCAUCUUAAAAUUGCAUUUUAUCAUAAAAUUAAAAUGGUCGGACACGACCAGAUUAUUGCCUAAAUAUUUUAAAACUUUAAUAUAGAGAAGACCGGGCUAAGAUGACCACCUUAACAUAUUUACUUAAUUAAUCAUUGGCCAGAUUGAAAGGAAACUUUAUUAUUUUCUACUUUCGAGAUAGUCGAAUGUAAUGUCGUGUUAGGGAAAUCAUAUGUCAAAUGUUUAUGGAGAUAAAAAGAAAGUAUAUUCAGACAAAGUCUCAAAAAUUCAUCUACUCCCAGGCCGGAGUAAGAUGACUAACCUGUUGUCUUUAUCACAAAUAAAUGUACGUACUGUAUUCUUCAUAGUUGGAGCAAUCUUGGUGCCACCAUUCUUUACAUUGGUUAAGAACAUAUUUCUCAUUCUCAUUAAGAAUACGUAAUAUGUUCUUAAUGAGAAUCUCUGCGUGGACAAGAAUCUUUUCAACUAAAUUUCCCCAGCUUUCUCGGUUUCCUGGUUAAAUCUACGCAAUCUACGCGAUAUGUUGUAAUAUAUUAUGAUGUGAGAAAAAAAAUCGAAAGCUUUCUGCCUCAGUUUUUGGUAGUUAGAUGACCAGCGUAAGGGGUAACGUAUUGGUCAUCAUCUGGCCCCGGUUAUGAAUUCUACUUUUAUGGGAGAAACUAGACGUGGCCAGGCUAUCGAUAAUAGAGACUAAACGGACAGACGCACACAUAUAGUACUAACCACGUAACUUUUAAAUAUAUAUGAUUGUGUUUAGGAUAAACUGUAUUUUAAUGGAGGGAAAUUUAUAUAGAGCCGAACAAAAACAUUGGUGAGGCUGUAGAAAUCAACUGUGGCCUUCCAUGGCUCUUUUUCAUCCUGUACCUACUGCGGCUUACAGUAUAGGCUGCGUGAACCACCAUCAAUGAACAAUUAUAUCAAAUAGGUCAUCUCCCUUACAGAAAUAAGCUGGAAGUAUCGGCAUAAAAUAAAAUUAUUUAACAUUUCUGUUAAAAGAAAUAUUCGCAGGAUAUCUUUUAGCUGAAAAAUCUUUUAAAAGUAUUAGAUUUCAGCACCAAUGUUUUAUGAUUAAUGAG
RNAcentral lists this long non-coding RNA (1540 nucleotides) under Androctonus crassicauda. Lineage: Eukaryota; Metazoa; Arthropoda; Arachnida; Scorpiones; Buthidae. The record is from RNAcentral.